RNAcentral lists this ribosomal RNA (511 nucleotides) under Dolichovespula norvegicoides. RNAcentral's name for it is "partial large subunit ribosomal RNA". The stretch from base 385 to 511 matches the Rfam family "Bacterial large subunit ribosomal RNA", at positions 2473 to 2600 of the family's 2925-position model. Lineage: Eukaryota; Metazoa; Arthropoda; Insecta; Hymenoptera; Vespidae. The record is from RNAcentral.
GUCUUAUUGUUUAUAAUAAUAAGUCUAUUCUGCCCAUUGAUUAAAAAUUAAAAGGCUGCAGUAUACUGACUGUACAAAGGUAGCAUAAUCAAUUGUUUUUUAAUUGAAAACUAGUAUGAAAGAAUGGAUGAAAUAUAAUUUGUCUCAAAAUUAAAAUAUUGAAUUUAAAUUAAAAGUCAAAAUGCUUUUAUUUAAUUAUAAGACGAUAAGACCCUAUAGAAUUUUAUAAAUUUUAUUUAUUAAAGAUAUUAUGUAAUAAAAUAUUUAAUGAAUAAUUAUAUUUUAUUGGGAGGAUAUUUAAAUUAAAUUAACUUUAAGAAUAUAUAAACAUUAAUUAAUGAGUUAGUGAUUAUUAUUAUAAUUAUUAGAAUAAAUUACCUUAGGGAUAACAGCGUAAUAAUUUUGGAGAGCCCAUAUUGAUAAAAUUGUUUGCGACCUCGAUGUUGAAUUAUGAUAAAAAUUAAACGGAGUAGUUUAAAAUUUUAGUCUGUUCGACUAUUAAAAUCAUACA